AUCUACGGCCAUGCCACCCUGAACGUGCCCAAUCUCGUCUGAUCUUGGAAGCUAAGUAAAGUCGGGCCUGGUUAGUACUUGGAUAGGAGAUCACUUAAGAAUACCAGGUGCUGUAGGUA
Pteropus vampyrus (large flying fox) is the source of this 119-nucleotide ribosomal RNA. The record is from Ensembl. Lineage: Eukaryota; Metazoa; Chordata; Mammalia; Chiroptera; Pteropodidae.